Non-coding RNA from Lolium perenne, 708 nucleotides. NCBI's taxonomy places the organism in Eukaryota, Viridiplantae, Streptophyta, Magnoliopsida, Poales, Poaceae. The record is from RefSeq and is a predicted model, not a curated record.
CCCACCUCCGAUAGCUCAACCCCAACUACCAAUCCCAAUUCUCGCGAAGCAAAAGGAAAGGGAAACUCGCGAUCCCCAUUAUCUCAAGACACCUUAACCCUAGCAGUAGUGCGCCGCAGCGAAAAGCGACGUCCAUAGAACAACCAUCAACCAUGGAGUGACUCAAGAUUGAUCCCCGGUAAACUUCCGGCUGCACCUCCGCGGUGACGCACGAGACAGGCCAGCCCGCCCUAGAGUGGAGGAUGGGGCUCUCAGCCAUCGGUAAACCGUGUGUGCAUCCACUCCAAAGCGGGCCACAACCCUCAAGGUCUAGGUCGACGUGGCAUGGUGGACUGAAUUUCCGCUGCAUCUACACAUCGUGCGCUCCACCCUACAGCCGCAGGUGGCUCUACUUUUCUGUUACUGCACCAAGUUGAACAAUAAAUCAUUUAUCUUCAGCCGAUGCAGAAAAUGAGCCGACGAGAUAAAAUUCCAUACCUUGCCCAUCAAGAUGGCUCUUCGAAGAUUCUGCUCUCAACCUAGAUUAAGUUUUUUUUGCAGAUCCAAAACAUCAGCAAGGACUGCUAUAUUUGAAGGCAGAACAUUAGAAGGAAUGUAUAUAGGAUUUAGUUACAGUGUUAUAUUUUGAAACAAGAUUGUAAGUUGUGUUCUCAAAAGAGAAUUUUCAUGUAUGGAAUUUGAUUUCAAUAAUAAAUGCUGAUUUUUAUC